GUGAACGCUGGCGGUAGGCCUCACACCUGCAAGUCGCACGGCAGCACUGUAAGAGCUUGCUCUUACGGGUGGCGAGUGGCGGACGGGUGAGGAAUACAUCGGAAUCUACUUUUUCGUGGGGGAUAACGUAGGGAAACUUACGCUAAUACCGCAUACGACCUACGGGUGAAAGCAGGGGAUCUUCGGACCUUGCGCGAUUGAAUGAGCCGAUGUCGGAUUAGCUAGUUGGCGGGGUAAAGGCCCACCAAGGCGACGAUCCGUAGCUGGUCUGAGAGGAUGAUCAGCCACACUGGAACUGAGACACGGUCCAGACUCCUACGGGAGGCAGCAGUGGGGAAUAUUGGACAAUGGGCGCAAGCCUGAUCCAGCCAUACCGCGUGGGUGAAGAAGGCCUUCGGGUUGUAAAGCCCUUUUGUUGGGAAAGAAAAGCAGCAGGUUAAUACCCCGCUGUUCUGACGGUACCCAAAGAAUAAGCACCGGCUAACUUCGUG
RNAcentral lists this ribosomal RNA (491 nucleotides) under uncultured bacterium. Its description in RNAcentral is "partial 16S ribosomal RNA". It matches the Rfam family "Bacterial small subunit ribosomal RNA", at positions 29 to 507 of the family's 1533-position model. The record is from RNAcentral.